Rhinichthys klamathensis goyatoka is the source of this 592-nucleotide long non-coding RNA. RefSeq lists it as uncharacterized. The transcript is spliced from 5 exons. Lineage: Eukaryota; Metazoa; Chordata; Actinopteri; Cypriniformes; Leuciscidae. The record is from RefSeq and is a predicted model, not a curated record.
UUUUAUUUAAUUUUUUUAAACCAGAUCAUUCAGCCCUGGCCAAGAGAAGCUGUCCAGAUCCCUUUCUCAGAGACAGCGUGAGGGUUCCUCAGGGUCUUCCACUCAUGGACGGAGGAGUCUGUUCAAGUCACCUUUGCAGAAACGGAGGCGGAGUUCCUCUGAGUCCUUCUCAUGGCGUCAGAAUGCUUCUGAACCCACAAGGAGCAGUAGGAGUGACACCCCGAGAACGACUAUCGACCGAAGCCUUAGGCAGCCUCCUGAGAAGUCUAUGAGAGCUGAAAGGGAUCCCCCAAAUGCUGCCAAGGCGAUGUCGACGCAUGCACACUCAAACAACUUGAGGAAGGAAGACUUCCCGAUGUCUGAAAAAAAAUUUCAGAAGAGAGUUCUUCAGCUCCUUGUCGAAAUCAAGGAUACAAUUUGUGUUGCCACCGGAACAUCUGGAACAAGUUAUGAAGUGAAGCCGGCAAACACUGAAGAGCAGCUCAAAGCUUUAGAGAAUCGCCUGGAGGACAAGAAUGAGGGAGCAAAACUGAGUAAACAUCUGAAGAGGUUGGGAGGUGUUGAUGCUGCAGACCAUGUGAAAAAGUCAAUG